Molecule: RNA transcript, 663 nt
Organism: Myxocyprinus asiaticus (Chinese sucker)
Lineage: Eukaryota; Metazoa; Chordata; Actinopteri; Cypriniformes; Catostomidae
Gene name: serine protease inhibitor Kazal-type 1-like
Exons: 5
Source: RefSeq, a predicted model, not a curated record
AGAAAACAAUUGUAGUGUACUUUAACAAAGGCCUCCAUAAUAAUAUUGCAAAACCACAAACAAAUGUCCUUAGUCAUUGUUUGUUGGGCCACUACAUGAAUGUCACCAAUCAGGUUCUUACGAGGUAGGCAGAAAACACGAAAGGAAGGGAGGAGUGUUGGUUGAUUUCAAAAGCUAUAUGACUACAGGGCUCCGGCUAGAGAGCAACACCUGUGGAGUUUCACACUUGAAUUCACAUACCCAGAGCGACCAUGAAGUUUACUAUCCUGAUCUGCGUUUCUGUUCUCAUUUACCUCUCUGCGGCAGAGCCCAGAGAGGCCAAAUGUACAGAGUCCGAUAAUAAUGGCAUGUGUUCUCGGGAGUACGAUCCAGUGUGUGGAGAUGAUGGCAAAACAUACUCAAAUGAGUGCAUGCUAUGCUGGGAGAACAGUCAGAAUAACCAGAAUGUCAAAGUAAUGUACAAAGGAGAAUGUAACACCUCCUGAACUCACUGCUGUUACAGCAUCCAGAAUGGGUUUCCAGAUGGAAUACUAUAUUAAAAACCAGCUGAGCAGGAUGCUCUGUCAUAGAUUUGCCAGUUAAACACUUUAUACGCUAUUGAAACUUUACGAAACAAUGCCUUGUCAUGUAACGUAAUGCAAUAAAAUAAAACAAUCAAGCAUU